This 542-nucleotide ribosomal RNA is filed under the name uncultured bacterium. RNAcentral's name for it is "partial 16S ribosomal RNA". It matches the Rfam family "Bacterial small subunit ribosomal RNA", at positions 355 to 888 of the family's 1533-position model. The record is from RNAcentral.
UGGGGAAUUUUGGACAAUGGGCGAAAGCCUGAUCCAGCAAUGCCGCGUGUGUGAAGAAGGCCUUCGGGUUGUAAAGCACUUUUGUCCGGAAAGAAAUCCUCUGGGUUAAUACCUCGGGGGGAUGACGGUACCGGAAGAAUAAGCACCGGCUAACUACGUGCCAGCAGCCGCGGUAAUACGUAGGGUGCAAGCGUUAAUCGGAAUUACUGGGCGUAAAGCGUGCGCAGGCGGUUUUGUAAGACGGAUGUGAAAUCCCCGGGCUUAACCUGGGAACUGCAUUCGUGACUGCAAGGCUAGAGUAUGGCAGAGGGGGGUUAGAAUUCCACGUGUAGCAGUGAAAUGCGUAGAGAUGUGGAGGAAUACCGAUGGCGAAGGCAGCCCCCUGGGCCAAUACUGACGCUCAUGCACGAAAGCGUGGGGAGCAAACAGGAUUAGGAUACCCUGGUAGUCCACGCCCUAAACGAUGUCAACUAGUUGUUGGGGAUUCAUUUCCUUAGUAACGUAGCUAACGCGUGAAGUUGACCGCCUGGGGAGUACGGUCG